RNAcentral lists this long non-coding RNA (210 nucleotides) under Elaeis guineensis (African oil palm). Its description in RNAcentral is "long non-coding RNA (EGUI_LNC015464)". The record is from RNAcentral. Lineage: Eukaryota; Viridiplantae; Streptophyta; Magnoliopsida; Arecales; Arecaceae.
CAUGCCCCAUAUCAAAUUUCAGAGGUCUUUCCAUAUCCUAAGCAGAGGAAAAGUCAUAUUUGAUAAGAGUUCUUCUGCAAGUGAAACUCUCUUAUCAGAUAUGACAUUUUAUUCUUCUCCCGUGCAUACCCAAUAAAAGAUGUAAUAAGCAUCUUUUCAUUAAUCAGAUUAUUUUCAGAUUUUUACAUAUGGAAAGUCUUUUGUUAAAUG